GCGGAUGUAGUUUAGUGGUAGAACUUCAGCCUUCCAAGCUGAUCGUGUGGGUUCGAUCAUCAUCCGCUCCA
This 71-nucleotide transfer RNA is filed under the name Ruminococcus bromii. RNAcentral's name for it is "tRNA-Gly". It matches the Rfam family "tRNA". From Rfam's summary of the family: Transfer RNA (tRNA) molecules are approximately 80 nucleotides in length. Their secondary structure includes four short double-helical elements and three loops (D, anti-codon, and T loops). Further hydrogen bonds mediate the characteristic L-shaped molecular structure. tRNAs have two regions of fundamental functional importance: the anti-codon, which is responsible for specific mRNA codon recognition, and the 3' end, to which the tRNAs corresponding amino acid is attached (by aminoacyl-tRNA synthetases). tRNAs cope with the degeneracy of the genetic code in two manners: having more than one tRNA (with a specific anti-codon) for a particular amino acid; and 'wobble' base-pairing, i.e. permitting non-standard base-pairing at the 3rd anti-codon position. Lineage: Bacteria; Bacillati; Bacillota; Clostridia; Eubacteriales; Oscillospiraceae. The record is from RNAcentral.